GAUCAUGGCUCAGGAUGAACGCUGGCGGCAUGCCUAAUACAUGCAAGUCGAACGAGAGGAAGGAAAGCUUGCUUUUCUGAAUCUAGUGGCGAACGGGUGAGUAACACGUAGGUAACCUGCCCACCACUUGGGGAUAACCUUGCGAAAGUAAGACUAAUACCCAAUGAUAUCUCUAGAAGACAUCUGAAAGAGAUUAAAGAUUCAUCGGUGAUGGAUGGGGAUGCGUCUGAUUAG
RNAcentral lists this ribosomal RNA (234 nucleotides) under uncultured bacterium. RNAcentral's name for it is "partial 16S ribosomal RNA". It matches the Rfam family "Bacterial small subunit ribosomal RNA", at positions 15 to 244 of the family's 1533-position model. The record is from RNAcentral.